This 57-nucleotide transfer RNA is filed under the name Dipodomys ordii (Ord's kangaroo rat). It matches the Rfam family "tRNA", at positions 8 to 63 of the family's 71-position model. Rfam says of the family: Transfer RNA (tRNA) molecules are approximately 80 nucleotides in length. Lineage: Eukaryota; Metazoa; Chordata; Mammalia; Rodentia; Heteromyidae. The record is from Rfam by way of RNAcentral.
UGGCUCAGUAGUAGAGCGCUUGCCUUGCAUGCAUGAGGCCUUGGGUUCGAUUCCUCA